This 45-nucleotide non-coding RNA is filed under the name Schistosoma margrebowiei. Lineage: Eukaryota; Metazoa; Platyhelminthes; Trematoda; Strigeidida; Schistosomatidae. The record is from RNAcentral.
GUUCCGCUGAUGAGUCCUAAAUAAGACGAAACGCGCGUCCGGGAU